GGCUUCGUGGCCCAAUGGCAAGGCGUCUGACUACGACGGUCCAAGACUGCAACUUGGAUUCAAAACUGCAAUCAGGAGAUUCUGGGUUCGAUCCCCAGCGAAGUCA
Molecule: transfer RNA, 106 nt
Filed under: Microdochium bolleyi
Lineage: Eukaryota; Fungi; Ascomycota; Sordariomycetes; Xylariales; Microdochiaceae
Rfam family: tRNA
About the family: Transfer RNA (tRNA) molecules are approximately 80 nucleotides in length. Their secondary structure includes four short double-helical elements and three loops (D, anti-codon, and T loops).
Source: Rfam by way of RNAcentral